GACGAACGCUGGCGGCGUGCUUAACACAUGCAAGUCGAACGGAAAGGCCCUGCUUGCAGGGUACUCGAGUGGCGAACGGGUGAGUAACACGUGGGUGAUCUGCCCUGCACUUCGGGAUAAGCCUGGGAAACUGGGUCUAAUACCGGAUAGGAGCCAUUUUUCGUGUGAUGGUUGGAAAGUUUUUUCGGUGUAGGAUGAGCUCGCGGCCUAUCAGCUUGUUGGUGGGGUAAUGGCCUACCAAGGCGGGGACGGGUCGCCGGCCAGAGAGGGUGGACGGCCACAUUGGGACUGGGAUACGGCCCAGACUCCUACGGGGGGCCGCAGUGGGGAAUAUUGCACAAUGGGGGCCAGCCUGAUGCAGUGACGCCGCGUGGGGGAGGACGGCCUUCGGGUUGGAAACUCCUUUCGCUAUGGACGAAGCUUUUUGUGACGGUACCUAGAGAAGAAGCACCGGCUAACUACGUG
Molecule: ribosomal RNA, 465 nt
Filed under: uncultured bacterium
Lineage: Bacteria
Description: partial 16S ribosomal RNA
Rfam family: Bacterial small subunit ribosomal RNA
Source: RNAcentral